RNAcentral lists this transfer RNA (65 nucleotides) under Paludibacteraceae bacterium. RNAcentral describes it as "tRNA-Arg". Lineage: Bacteria; Pseudomonadati; Bacteroidota; Bacteroidia; Bacteroidales; Paludibacteraceae. The record is from RNAcentral.
GGCUAAAAUAGGGAAUAAACUUUUGGCUACGGACCAGAAGGUCGGGGGUUCGAAUCCUCUAGGAC